Molecule: ribosomal RNA, 300 nt
Filed under: uncultured eukaryote
Lineage: Eukaryota
Description: partial 18S ribosomal RNA
Source: RNAcentral
CCGGAGAGCGGUGGGAAUUUGACUCAACACGCAUGGGUUCGAUUCCGGAGAGCGGUGGGCACCAAUUUGACUCAACACGCAUGGGUUCGAUUCCGGAGAGCGGUGGGCACCAAUUUGACUCAACACGCAAUUCGACUCAACACGCAAUUUGACUCAACACGCAGGGGUUCGAUUCCGGAGAGCGGUGGGCAAUUUGACUCAACACGCAUGGGUUCGAUUCCGGAGAGCGGUGGGCACCAAUUUGACUCAACACGCAAUUUGACUCAACACGCAAUUCGACUCAACACGCAAUUUGACUCA